CAGGAAGCCCUUCCCGGCAGCGGGGUGGGGAGGUGCUGUGUCUAGAGGACCUGGAUGCUGAUAGCUUCCUUCUACCUGAGGUGACCUGGGAUUUAUGGUUCAAGAGCACACCCCAAGAGUAAACCCCAUGUGAGGGGUUUUGUGAUGAAGGCCCUGUUGCACAGGGUUCUAGAGCCGUCUGGACCUGAGGGCUGAGCGAUGCGGCCCGCUGCGUGAGCUCCGCCGGUCAGAACUUGGCCCAGCCCAUGGUACCACGGGGAAUGUCUGCAGACAGAACCUUGAACUGAAUGUGGGACACCGUAGCAGAACAUCAGGAAGGAAGGGGAGUCUUCCAACAAAGGAAGAUGGCGGGGAGUCUCUGCUCAUCAUGAUGACUUGGGGCUCGGCCUGAGAGAACAGCCACCAUCUUGAAACUUGCCAGUCUCACGCCAGAAGGAAAAUGAGCCCUGGAGGUUCUCACACCUGUCCCAGCUGCAAGUGACUCCCAUCAGUUCUACUCACAACUCACUGGCUAGAACAGUCACAUGGCCUCACCAACUAGCAGGAGUCUAACCGGAAGGUGAGGAGCUAGAAGAACGUGGGGAGCGGCGCUCCUGAGUACGACAGUAUACCUCCUGCCCGGCAGAGAGCCUGGUAGGAAGAAGCUGAUCAGCAAAUUUUUGAUGAAACAGUUUCCAGCCGAACCACUGUUCCCAGAAUAGCUGUUGCGAAGGCACCAAUGACUUCCAUAUUGCUCCACACGGUGGACACUUUUCAGUCCUUGUCUCCCUUGACCUUGCAUAUAACACCCAGAUUUCAUUCUUAAUACAUGUCUCUCGGCUUCAGGACACAACGCUUAUCUGAUAUUCUUCCUACCUCCUGAGUCACUGCUUCCCUCCUCCUUUGCAACUUUCCCCUCCUCCACCUGGCCUUACAUUUUGGAGCGUCCCAGGGCAUGGGCCUCUUGGCUCCUCACUAAACUUUGUUCUCAGAUGGGGCGCCUGGGUGGCUCAGUCGUUGAGUGUCUGCCUUCAGCUCAGGUCGUGAUCCUGGGGUCCUGGGAUUGAACCCCGCAUCGGGCACCCUGCUUGGUGGGAGUCUGCUUCUC
Long non-coding RNA from Zalophus californianus (California sea lion), 1087 nucleotides. RefSeq lists it as uncharacterized. The record is from RefSeq and is a predicted model, not a curated record. NCBI's taxonomy places the organism in Eukaryota, Metazoa, Chordata, Mammalia, Carnivora, Otariidae. The transcript has 3 exons.